Molecule: ribosomal RNA, 686 nt
Filed under: Enterobacter sp. HPC1323
Lineage: Bacteria; Pseudomonadati; Pseudomonadota; Gammaproteobacteria; Enterobacterales; Enterobacteriaceae
Description: bacterial SSU rRNA
Rfam family: Bacterial small subunit ribosomal RNA
Source: RNAcentral
UUGAACGCUGGGCGGCAGGCCUAACACAUGCAAGUCGAACGGUAGCACAGAGAGCUUGCUCUCGGGUGACGAGUGGCGGACGGGUGAGUAAUGUCUGGGAAACUGCCUGAUGGAGGGGGAUAACUACUGGAAACGGUAGCUAAUACCGCAUAACGUCGCAAGACCAAAGAGGGGGACCUUCGGGCCUCUUGCCAUCAGAUGUGCCCAGAUGGGAUUAGCUAGUAGGUGGGGUAAUGGCUCACCUAGGCGACGAUCCCUAGCUGGUCUGAGAGGAUGACCAGCCACACUGGAACUGAGACACGGUCCAGACUCCUACGGGAGGCAGCAGUGGGGAAUAUUGCACAAUGGGCGCAAGCCUGAUGCAGCCAUGCCGCGUGUAUGAAGAAGGCCUUCGGGUUGUAAAGUACUUUCAGCGGGGAGGAAGGUGUUGUGGUUAAUAACCGCAGCAAUUGACGUUACCCGCAGAAGAAGCACCGGCUAACUCCGUGCCAGCAGCCGCGGUAAUACGGAGGGUGCAAGCGUUAAUCGGAAUUACUGGGCGUAAAGCGCACGCAGGCGGUCUGUCAAGUCGGAUGUGAAAUCCCCGGGCUCAACCUGGGAACUGCAUUCGAAACUGGCAGGCUAGAGUCUUGUAGAGGGGGGUAGAAUUCCAGUGUAGCGGUGAAAUUGCGUAGAGAUCUGGAGGA